Molecule: non-coding RNA, 70 nt
Organism: Phrynosoma platyrhinos (Desert horned lizard)
Lineage: Eukaryota; Metazoa; Chordata; Lepidosauria; Squamata; Phrynosomatidae
Source: the annotation of a GenBank genome assembly
GCCAGUGUGGCAUAGUGGUUUGAGUGUUGACUAUGAAUCUGGAAUCAGGGUUCAAAUUCCAGCUUGGCCA